RNAcentral lists this long non-coding RNA (999 nucleotides) under Vigna radiata. RNAcentral's name for it is "long non-coding RNA (VRAD_LNC006907)". The record is from RNAcentral. Lineage: Eukaryota; Viridiplantae; Streptophyta; Magnoliopsida; Fabales; Fabaceae.
CUCUUUUAUUUAUAUCUAUUAUUUGCGUAGUAAGUUUAAUUGAGUAGAAAUUAAAAGGCACACGUUUGUUUUAAAAACCCUCUUGGUUUGUUAUUCCACGCUAAUAAUUCCGUUGCAGCAAUUCUAACAGAUUGUACUAUCUAUGUAGUCAACUAUGAUUUUUCUCUGCACACAAUUUUCAUUACUUGCGAUUCAAGAAUGUUUUGUAAAGUUUUAUACUUUGUAUAAAAGAUUGCAAAAAGACUCUGAUUUUGAAAAAUCACCAAUUCACCCCCCCCCCCUCUUGGUGUAAAAAGAAACCUGCCUGUUUUCCAACAACCUCCUCUCUAUUGAAACUACCCAGAUUAUUGAGAUUGAUCUGCAUUCCUCCUGAAUAUAGGACAAUCUCUUUCAUAAGGCCCCUCCCUACUACACAAAUUACAUCUUUUGUAACCUCAUAACUAAGGACAAACCCUUUUCACAUAUGGUCCCUCACAUUGAUAACAUUGUACCCCACUUGGCUGACUCCUCUAUUAUGAAAGGUUACUCCAAAACCCACGAGAAGGAGGCCUAGUGUAAGGCUUUUUUUAUCCACUCGACCUAAUUUGGACCCAAAUGGCCCUCUCGCUCUCUGAAAUGGCCCAUACUGCUUAUCCACUUCAUUCUUCAUCUUCUUCAGCACUUUUUCCCUUUCUACCAAGGCAAGGAACUCAUUGAUACAAAGUGCAAGCACUAUCAACAUACCAAGGCAAGGAACUUCAUUCCUUAUCCAUCUUUAGAGUACGAAACCUAAUGAGAUGUUUAAACUUCUCAACAUACUCAGAAACUAACAUCCCUCCUUAGACUAGCUAUAGAAACUCCACUUCCAUAGCAAAUUUGACACUAUUUGAAAAAUAUUCUUCAUAAAACUUUUUUCUUGAAUAUAUCCCAAGUAAUGGCUUCUUCACUCUCCUGCAGCAAGAUAUUCACACUACUUCACCAAUGGCUAGCUUCUCUAGUAACUAAGUACUCAUAAAAACC